GUCGUCGUGGCCGAGUGGUUAAGGCGACAGACUUGAAAUCUGUUGGGCUCUGCCCGCACAGAUUCGAAUCCUGUCGGUGACG
Molecule: non-coding RNA, 82 nt
Organism: Ciona savignyi (Pacific transparent sea squirt)
Lineage: Eukaryota; Metazoa; Chordata; Ascidiacea; Phlebobranchia; Cionidae
Source: Rfam